This 501-nucleotide ribosomal RNA is filed under the name uncultured bacterium. Its description in RNAcentral is "bacterial SSU rRNA". It matches the Rfam family "Bacterial small subunit ribosomal RNA", at positions 32 to 510 of the family's 1533-position model. The record is from RNAcentral.
AAUCAACGCUGGCGGCGUGCCUCAGACAUGCAAGUCGAACGCGAAAGUCCCCUUCGGGGGACAAGUAGAGUGGCGCACGGGUGAGUAACACGUAGGUAAUCUACCUUUGGAUGGGGAAUAACAACCGGAAACGGUUGCUAAUACCGCAUAAUGCAGCGGCACCUAAUGGUGACAGUUGUUAAAGCGGGGGAUCGAAAGACCUCGCGUCUGAAGAGGAGCCUGCGGCGGAUUAGCUAGNGGUAAGGUAAUGGCUUACCAAGGCUACGAUCCGUAACCGGCCUGAGAGGGGCGGUCGGUCACACUGACACUGACAUACGGGUCAGACUCCUACGGGAGCAGCAGUCGGGAAUUUUGGGCAAUGGGCGAAAGCCUGACCCAGCAACGCCGCGUGAAGGAUGAAAUCCCNCGGGAUGUAAACUUCGCAAGAACGGGAAGAAUAAGCGAGAGUUAAUAUCUUUCGUGAUGCGGUACCGUUUGUAAGCACCGGCCAACUACGUGCCA